Molecule: long non-coding RNA, 334 nt
Organism: Dermacentor silvarum
Lineage: Eukaryota; Metazoa; Arthropoda; Arachnida; Ixodida; Ixodidae
Exons: 3
Source: RefSeq, a predicted model, not a curated record
UGUGGACGGCUUUAUGGAUUCUUUGCACAAUACUAUUUGCGCAAGAUACAAAUUUUGUUUAUUCAUCUUCCAACUUGUAUGCUGCACAAUUUCAGGAUGGUCAUUGCAUCUAUCAGAAUCAAACAAUUUGCAAUGGCACCGAAGGGAUGAUGCAAGAGCCUUGUGUAAAGGUCUACUGCGACGGGGACAAUAAGGUGCUUUUUAUUAUGAGUUGCCCGCCUCCGAAGAACUUCACGCCGCCAAACGGGACAAGCAACGACUCGUAUCCAUAUUGUUGCCCUGACAACACCAGGGCACAAAAGUCGUCAGUGCACGUAAAUUGAAAUAAAUUUUG